RNAcentral lists this ribosomal RNA (253 nucleotides) under uncultured bacterium. Its description in RNAcentral is "partial 16S ribosomal RNA". It matches the Rfam family "Bacterial small subunit ribosomal RNA", at positions 524 to 776 of the family's 1533-position model. The record is from RNAcentral.
UACGUAGGGUGCAAGCGUUAAUCGGAAUUACUGGGCGUAAAGCGUGCGCAGGCGGUUCGCUAAGACAGAUGUGAAAUCCCCGGGCUUAACCUGGGAACUGCAUUUGUGACUGGCGGGCUAGAGUAUGGCAGAGGGAGGUAGAAUUCCACGUGUAGCGGUGAAAUGCGUAGAUAUGUGGAGGAAUACCGAUGGCGAAGGCAGCCUCCUGGGCCAACACUGACGCUCAUGCACGAAAGCGUGGGGAGCAAACAGG